This is a long non-coding RNA of Centruroides sculpturatus (bark scorpion), 490 nucleotides long. RefSeq lists it as uncharacterized. Lineage: Eukaryota; Metazoa; Arthropoda; Arachnida; Scorpiones; Buthidae. The record is from RefSeq and is a predicted model, not a curated record. The transcript has 3 exons.
GGCUUACGAAAAAUAUCUUAAACGCCACGGAGAAGAACCUCAUCUUCCUGGUCUCGACUUUACAAAUAAACAAAUGUUUUUCAUCGGAUUUGCUCAGCUUUGGUGUGAGGCAAUCGAAUCCAUGAAAAAAACUUUCGAACGUGAUCAGCAUAGUCCCGGAAAAUACCGAGUGCUGGUUCCUUUAAUGAAUUCUCCAGAUUUUGCUGAAGUUUUCAACUGUCCUUUGAAAAGUUAUAUGAAUCCCGAGAAUAAAUGUCGAUUAUGGGGAUGAAAUGUAUUUAUUGUACAGUUCGUCAAAAUUCGGAAAACGAAUAAAAUAGUUAUCGUUAAUUUACUGCAUUAGUAUUUAUAAUCACUUCAUGUAUUUUUACAUAACGUUUUUCUAUUCUAACAGUUAAAAAACUUUCGUAAAUAUUUGGUAUUUUCGACUGAAUUAAAAUUACAGUACUGUACCAAAUAUCUGGCUUUUAGAAAUGUGGAAUUACCAGAA